This 279-nucleotide long non-coding RNA is filed under the name Nicotiana benthamiana. RNAcentral's name for it is "long non-coding RNA (NBEN_LNC020821)". Lineage: Eukaryota; Viridiplantae; Streptophyta; Magnoliopsida; Solanales; Solanaceae. The record is from RNAcentral.
AAGGAUCAAUUGAUAAUACGAAGUUCAAUUCAUAGCCUAAUAAAGUUCUACAGUUCGGCCUAUACGUGACGUUUAAUUCCAUGUUUCAGGUACUAUACGAUAAUUCCUGAUAUUAGCGUGCUUUAUCAAAUCUAUUUAGUUGGAUCUAUAAAUGCCUGGAUUGUCCAGGCUAUGAGAAAAAUAAUUCAUAGGCCCAAAUUAUCUAAUUCUGGUAUACAUGAAAUCCUGGGCAUGUUUGGAAGAAUAAAAAAAAUUGAAAGUCAUGCCCUUUACGUUGGG